Diceros bicornis minor is the source of this 2449-nucleotide long non-coding RNA. RefSeq lists it as uncharacterized. The transcript has 4 exons. The record is from RefSeq and is a predicted model, not a curated record. Lineage: Eukaryota; Metazoa; Chordata; Mammalia; Perissodactyla; Rhinocerotidae.
CUAACAUCUGUGCCAAUCUUCCUCUAUUUUUUUGUAUGUGGGAUACCACCACAGCAUGGCUUGAUGAGCGGUGUGUAGGUCUGCUCCCAGGAUCCAAACCCGCAAACCCUGGGGUGCUGAAGCAGAGCGCAUGAACUUAACCACUAUGUCACCAGGCCGGCCUUGGAUUUUUUUCAACUCUAUGUUAAAGAAUUCCUGAGAAGUCUCUUUCAGUUAAGUUAAAGCCCAAGGAUGAAUAACAAAGCAGAAAUCAGUCUAUGACACUGGCCUUCGCCUUUCUUUCUCCCAUCUCUCUGCCAGUAGAAAUGUGUCUUUCGUGAUGAGGAAACUGAGGAUAAAGAAGGUGAAAUAACAUGCCUGAGUUCACACUGAAUUAGAAAUAGAAUCCAGGUCUCCUGACUUCUUAGAUGAUUGUCAACUCCCCCCACACCCUCAAGUAAACCAGUAUCUACCCUGAACCCUUUCCCACUGGAGAAGGAGAUGGGGGAAGAUUCAAGAAUGAACUCUAUUGGUCUAUAUUGUUUGGAUGAUUCAUGGAAAUCUCCUUGGAAAGAAUGAUAAAAUCAGAUUGAAGUAAUGGCUGCGCUUCACAACUUUCAGGUACAUAGGAAUCACCUGGAGAUUUUGUUAAAAUGCACAUUCUGAUUCAGCUGUUUUGGGCUGGGGACUGAGAUUCAAGUUUCUAACAAGCUUCCUGAGGAUGCUGAUGCUGUUGGUCCAUAGACCACGCUUUGAGUAGCAAGGAGUUCAGAGACCAUUCUUGACUCUGCCACUUACUCACUUUGUGAACUAUGGUUAUUAAUUAUAGUAAGGGACAUAUUACACUUGGAUUCACAUUAAAGUCUCUACAGAUCUUUACAUGGGAUCCUUACAAAUAUAAGGCCAGUAUUUAUCUGCAAUUUUAGAGAGACGGAAAGGUUAAGUGACCUGCCAAUAUCACACAGCUAGUGGGUGGCCAAGCCAGAUCUCAGGCUUCAAGCUUAGUGCUUAUACUGUCAUACCACACUACUUCUCUUUCCUUGAUUUCCCUCCUCAAUGAAAUUGGAAUACAGACUUUACAGUGCUGUUAGAAUGCAGAGAGGGUUUGGUCAAACAACUAAAAAACUAUAUAUUGGUGAGCUAUAGAAUCACAAAUAUGAAUAUCUACAAUCCUGCAUAUAAUUUGGAAAUUAUAACUAAGUAAAAAUUGAGUCAUUUUUGCCCUUAUUUUAAUAAAGAAUUAAAUCCAUGCCCAGCUAGUUUGAAAGGGAUACAAGUCUUCUCAAAGGAAGCCAGCUGCUGAGCUGGAGAAUGUAGACUCAGCCACGUGAUUUCCAGCAGCACUGAUGCAGGCACAGCUGGGGUCAUCUCUGUUCACGUCUCAUUUGUGGUCUGGGCUGGUGAACAUUUAACCUGCAUCUUUUAAGCUUCAGUUCAUGCUAUAUUCUUCAUUUCACCACCUAAUUUUCUUUAUGUGAUGAAACUUGACCCAUCUCUCUUCCAUGCAGUGUGCUGCUGCCAUCAGGGCCUGGGAAAUGAUAUACUUGCCAGGACAUUGCUUAGAGAUCAAGAUGGCACAGAGGGUUAUGGGACCUUUGAGAAGGGGCAAGGACUGUAACUCUCUCUUUCUGAUAGGAGAACAAUUUAAAUCUGGUUUUAGUCACAAGCAAUGUCAAUUUGGCUAAUUCAGCUUUGUUCCUAUUGAUUAUUUGCCCACAAGUAAAAUUUCAAUAGUGUAUGUGUAUGUGUGUUAAGGACUUGUGUGGGUGGGAUAGGGUAGAAAUGAAUCACCAGAAAAAGACACAGAUGCAUCAUUGCAGGCCUCACAGAGGGGAAGAGAAAGAAACAGUGGUAGGGACACCUUGUUUAUUACUGAAGUGCAUGAAACUUCUCAAUGGAAAACUUUUCACGUCUAACAUUGUGCUAUAGAUUGGCCCUGAGGAUUGAUUUAUUAAUAUCUGGAAUUCUGUGCAUUUGACAGGCUAAUGGCAACACUAUUUUCUUAGGCCUGUGGUGCUAGAGCUACAUUAUAAUGACUUUGCCAGGCAGCUCUGAAGAAUAGCUGGAAGACCACGUGGGAAUGGAAUGAAGGCCAAAUCCCAGUAGUCCAGUUGGGAGACUCCUAUGAAUGCAAGGUCAGAGCCUCUCAACCUAACCACAGAGCUUUCUUUACUGCUGUAGACACCAGCUAAAAUCAAGAGGAUUCCAGAUUAGCUUUGCUAUACUUUUUUGUUUUCCCAUUAUUAUUGUUAUUACUGUUUUGUCUGUAAUUAUCUUGUCCUUGUUAGGAGUCAAUGAGAUCUAGGACAGAUCUGGGAUAUGGCCAUGUGCUCCACUGGAGUAAAGGACCUGUAUUUGUCAUUUAUUGCUGCAUAAAAAUAUUAGCAGCUUAAAACAAUGUACACUUAGGUCAUAGUUUCUGUGAGUCAGGGAUCCGAAUGCAGCUUAACUGGGUCAUCUGAUUUAGUUU